UUGCUGGAGUUCAGCUUAGGGAAGGAGGACUCUGAGGAGGCCCCGAGCGGCGGAGCGCUUCGGGGGAGGCGCCCGCGCAGACGCGAGGCCCAUAGCCAGGACCACCACCUAGCUGAUUCUUGAUGACAUUGGUCGGGAAAACUCGCCUUUCACGGCCCGGCCAAGGGGCAUUUGGGUGCUUUUGCUGCCCGUGGCUGUGCUCAGCGUUGUGGGAAGCCCCUGGGAGGCCGAAUGUGCAGGAUCACCGAGGGGAAAGUGAGCUUGACAGUAUGACGCCGUGCCCAUCCAGUCCAGCGUGGUGUUAUGUUCCUGCCCAUCCCCAUCAAUGGUGAGGACCCAGACUGAGUCCAGCACGCCCCCUGGCAUUCCUGGUGGCAGCAGGCAGGGCCCCGCCAUGGACGGCACUGCAGCCGAGCCUCGGCCCGGCGCCGGCUCCCUGCAGCAUGCCCAGCCUCCGCCGCAGCCUCGGAAGAAGCGGCCUGAGGACUUCAAGUUUGGGAAAAUUCUUGGGGAAGGCUCUUUUUCCACGGUUGUCCUGGCUCGAGAACUGG
Molecule: long non-coding RNA, 551 nt
Filed under: Homo sapiens (human)
Lineage: Eukaryota; Metazoa; Chordata; Mammalia; Primates; Hominidae
Description: non-protein coding lnc-PRSS27-4:18
Source: RNAcentral